AGCAGCCGCCGCGGGAAUACGUAGGGUGCAAGCGUUAAUCGGAAUUACUGGGCGUAAAGGGAGCGCAGGCGGUUUAGUAAGUCUGAAGUUAAAGGCAUUGGCUCAACCAAUGUAUGCUUUGGAAACUGUUAGACUUGAGUGCAGAAGGGGAGAGUAGAAUUCCAUGUGUAGCGGUGAAAUGCGUAGAUAUAUGGAGGAGCACCGGUGGCGAAAGCGGCUCUCUGGUCUGUCACUGACGCUGAGGCUCGAAAGCGUGGGUAGCGAACAGGAUUAGAUACCCCUGUAGUCCCUGUCUCUUAUACA
Molecule: ribosomal RNA, 303 nt
Filed under: uncultured bacterium
Lineage: Bacteria
Description: partial 16S ribosomal RNA
Rfam family: Bacterial small subunit ribosomal RNA
Source: RNAcentral